This 25-nucleotide small RNA is filed under the name Bombyx mori (domestic silkworm). RNAcentral's name for it is "ovarian small RNA-34468". Lineage: Eukaryota; Metazoa; Arthropoda; Insecta; Lepidoptera; Bombycidae. The record is from RNAcentral.
UGGAAGGAAUACUCGGCCUUGCCAU